UUUUUUCAAGACCACCUCUUUGCCGAUUCUAACAGGCAUUGUUACUUCAUUUUUCACUUUAGUGUAAAUUUCGGGCUUUUAUCGUAUUCAAUCCCUUGAUACCUCAAAAGUGCGAAAGUCGUUGUUAUCUUCCUUUCGGAUCUCCAAUUGAUUGAAUAGAGGCAGCUGUAAUACCCCAAAAUUUACCCUUCAUUUUUUUUCCUGGAAGCAUGGG
Molecule: long non-coding RNA, 214 nt
Filed under: Lathyrus oleraceus (garden pea)
Lineage: Eukaryota; Viridiplantae; Streptophyta; Magnoliopsida; Fabales; Fabaceae
Description: Pisum sativum (pea) long non-coding RNA (PSAT_LNC034107)
Source: RNAcentral